UGUCGAUCUUGUUAAUAUAUUUAAAACAAGACACAUAAAUUACAACUACAGACUCUAUUAUAUUAGAUUUGCGAAUCUCUUGUUUCAUAUGUCUCUGUUAAAUGUGAAUGUGAAUUCAGUCCGGUCAACUUUAUUUUGAAGAAAGUUUAUAUUUUCAUAUCAUAUAUUUAUUGAUGUCGCAGUUUCAUGACUUAAAUCAGCUGCUUAAAU
Molecule: long non-coding RNA, 210 nt
Filed under: Mytilus galloprovincialis (Mediterranean mussel)
Lineage: Eukaryota; Metazoa; Mollusca; Bivalvia; Mytilida; Mytilidae
Source: RNAcentral